AAUGAACGAAAGUUUGACACAGCGACACCGCGUGUGGGAUGACGGAUCUAGGUUUGUAAACCACUUUCAGGAGGGAAGAAAAUGACGGUACCUCCACAAGAAGCCCCGGCCAACUACGUGCCAGCAGCCGCGGUAAUACGUAGGUUGCAAACAUUGUCCGGAAUCACUGGGCGUAAAGGGUCCGUAGGCGGUUUGAUAAGUCUCAUAUGAAAGCUUCAAGCUCAACUUGGAGAUGUGUGAGAUACUGUCAGACUAGAGACUGUUAGAGGUAAGUGGAAUUCCAGGUGUAGUGGUGAAAUGCGUAGAUAUCUGGAGGAACACCAGUGGCGAAAGCGACUUACUGGGACAGUUCUGACACUAAGGGACGAAAGCGUGGGGAGCGAACCGGAUU
This 391-nucleotide ribosomal RNA is filed under the name uncultured Chloroflexota bacterium. Its description in RNAcentral is "bacterial SSU rRNA". It matches the Rfam family "Bacterial small subunit ribosomal RNA", at positions 370 to 779 of the family's 1533-position model. The record is from RNAcentral. Lineage: Bacteria; Bacillati; Chloroflexota.